This 400-nucleotide ribosomal RNA is filed under the name uncultured bacterium. RNAcentral's name for it is "bacterial SSU rRNA". It matches the Rfam family "Bacterial small subunit ribosomal RNA", at positions 975 to 1375 of the family's 1533-position model. The record is from RNAcentral.
CUGGCCUUGACAUCCUGCGAACUUUCUAGAGAUAGAUUGGUGCCUUCGGGAACGCAGUGACAGGUGCUGCAUGGCCGUCGUCAGCUCGUGUCGUGAGAUGUUGGGUUAAGUCCCGUAACGAGCGCAACCCCUAUCCCUAGUUGCUAGCAGUUCGGCUGAGAACUCUAGGGAGACUGCCGGUGACAAACCGGAGGAAGGUGGGGAUGACGUCAGGUCAUCAUGGCCCUUACGGCCAGGGCUACACACGUGCUACAAUGGUGCGUACAGAGGGCUGCGAACCCGCGAGGGGGAGCUAAUCUCACAAAACGCAUCGUAGUCCGGAUCGGAGUCUGCAACUCGACUCCGUGAAGUCGGAAUCGCUAGUAAUCGCGAAUCAGAAUGUCGCGGUGAAUACGUUCCC